Molecule: ribosomal RNA, 324 nt
Filed under: uncultured eukaryote
Lineage: Eukaryota
Description: partial 18S ribosomal RNA
Rfam family: Eukaryotic small subunit ribosomal RNA
Source: RNAcentral
CCCUUAGAUGUUCUGGGCCCCACGCGCGCUACACUGACGGAGUCAACGAGUUGUCCUGCAUCGGAAGGUGUGGGUAAUCUUUUGAAACUUCGUCGUGCUGGGGAUAGAUCUUUGCAAUUUUCGAUCUUGAACGAGGAAUUCCUAGUAAGCGUGAUUCAUCAGAUCGCGUUGAUUACGUCCCUGCCCUUUGUACACACCGCCCGUCGCUACUACCGAUUGAAUGGUUUAGUGAGGCCUCGGGACUGGCGCGCUCGAGUAGCAAUACACCUGCGCGCCGGGAACUUGGUCAAACUUGAUCAUUUAGAGGAAGUAAAAGUCGUAACA